This 301-nucleotide ribosomal RNA is filed under the name uncultured bacterium. Its description in RNAcentral is "partial 16S ribosomal RNA". It matches the Rfam family "Bacterial small subunit ribosomal RNA", at positions 509 to 808 of the family's 1533-position model. The record is from RNAcentral.
CAGUAGCCGCGGUAACACGUAGGGGGCGAGCGUUGUCCGAAGUUACUGGGCGUAAAGCAUGCGUAGGCGGCUUCUUAAGUCUGAGGUGAAAGGUUCAACGCUUAACGUGAACAGUGCCUUGGAUACUGGGGAGCUUGAGUAUGGGAGAGGGCAGUGGAAUGGCUGGUGUAGCGGUGAAAUGCGUAGAUAUCAGUCGGAACUCCCAUGGCGAAGGCAGCUGCCUGGCCUAAUACUGACGCUGAGGUACGAAAGCGUGGGGAGCGAACGGGAUUAGAUACCCCCGUAGUCCCUGUCUCUUAUA